AUUGUGUAUCUAAGUUAAGAGUUGGAUUCUUACUCCAUUAAUGUGGUUUCACCUCAAUG
This 59-nucleotide transfer RNA is filed under the name Senga ophiocephalina. RNAcentral's name for it is "tRNA-Lys". The record is from RNAcentral. Lineage: Eukaryota; Metazoa; Platyhelminthes; Cestoda; Bothriocephalidea; Bothriocephalidae.